GGAUUAGAUACCCUGGUAGUCCAUGCCGUAAACGUUGGGCACUAGGUGUGGGGGACAUUCCACGUUUUCCGCGCCGUAGCUAACGCAUUAAGUGCCCCGCCUGGGGAGUACGGCCGCAAGGCUAAAACUCAAAGGAAUUGACGGGGGCCCGCACAAGCGGCGGAGCAUGCGGAUUAAUUCGAUGCAACGCGAAGAACCUUACCAAGGCUUGACAUGAACCGGAAAGACCUGGAAACAGGUGCCCCGCUUGCGGUCGGUUUACAGGUGGUGCAUGGUUGUCGUCAGCUCGUGCC
RNAcentral lists this ribosomal RNA (293 nucleotides) under uncultured bacterium. Its description in RNAcentral is "partial 16S ribosomal RNA". It matches the Rfam family "Bacterial small subunit ribosomal RNA", at positions 775 to 1066 of the family's 1533-position model. The record is from RNAcentral.